GAUGAACGCUAGCUACAGGCUUAACACAUGCAAGUCGAGGGGAAACGAUAUUGGAAGCUUGCUUCCGAUAGGCGUCGACCGGCGCACGGGUGAGUAACGCGUAUCCAACCUGCCCAUCACUUGGAAAUAACCUUGCGAAAGUAAGACUAAUACCCAAUGAUAUCUCUAGAAGACAUCUGAAGGAGAUUAAAGAUUUAUCGGUGAUGGAUGGGGAUGCGUCUGAUUAGCUUGUUGGCGGGGUAACGGCCCACCAAGGCUAACGAUCAGUAGGGGUUCUGAGAGGAAGGUCCCCCCACAUUGGAACUGAGACACGGUCCAAACUCCUACGGGAGGCAGCAGUGAGGAAUAUUGGUCAAUGGACGGGAGUCUGAACCAGCCAAGUAGCGUGCAGGACGACGGCCCUAAUGGGUUGUAAACUGCUUUUAUAGGGGGAUAAAGUGUGCCACGUGUGGCAUAUUGCAGGUACCCCUAUGAAUAAGGACCGGCUAAUUCCGUGCCAGCAGCCG
This 506-nucleotide ribosomal RNA is filed under the name uncultured bacterium. RNAcentral's name for it is "bacterial SSU rRNA". It matches the Rfam family "Bacterial small subunit ribosomal RNA", at positions 28 to 517 of the family's 1533-position model. The record is from RNAcentral.